GUUAAUGUGUAGCGAAACAGAGUGUGUGUCAGUAUAGUGGAUGCAGUGAGUGUGUUAGUGUGUAGUGUAUACAGAGUGUAUGUUGUAUUAGUGUAUGCAGUGUGUGUGUUGUGUUAGUGUAUGCAGUGUGUGUGUUGUGUUAGUGUAUGCAGUGUGUUGUGUUAGUGUAUGUAGUGUGUGUUGUGUUAGUGUAUGCAGUGUGUGUGUUGUUAG
Molecule: non-coding RNA, 213 nt
Organism: Pelobates cultripes (western spadefoot toad)
Lineage: Eukaryota; Metazoa; Chordata; Amphibia; Anura; Pelobatidae
Source: the annotation of a GenBank genome assembly